RNA transcript from Drosophila sulfurigaster albostrigata, 2881 nucleotides. RefSeq lists it as uncharacterized. The record is from RefSeq and is a predicted model, not a curated record. The transcript has 2 exons. NCBI's taxonomy places the organism in Eukaryota, Metazoa, Arthropoda, Insecta, Diptera, Drosophilidae.
UUGAUUGCCGUCAUAGAACAAUGUUUUCGCGUGACAAGCAGAUAUUGUAAAUGCCUACUGAACGUGUUAGAGAAUCCAUAAACCGUUUAUUAAAUGUAUUUUAUAAUUUACCCGUCAAUUAUAUGCAUUUAAUGACGAGCAGGAUAAUUGAAUGACAACGAAAAAUGCAUAAAUAUUUUGCCGUCUAAUUCAGUUAUUAGUGAAGCUUCAAUAGGAGACGUCCAAGUUCUUGAACUUUAUUUAUUUCGCGUUACCUUAUUGAACAUUAAAAAUGCGUUGGAAGUAUUUGCGAAUUUUAAUAAUAAUCCACGCUUUACUGUUCACGAAUCUUUCAUCACCGUUUACAAAUGCGUUGCAUAAUCGUUUUUUGGAUAAAGCUACGUUUCUUAAACAUCCGUCUGAUAAUAAAUUAUUAGAAACAAUAACUCCGUAUAACGCUCACGAUAAAACUAUCCUCAAAUCUUCAUUAUUAUUAAGUGUAAUCCAUCCACCAAAAUUAGCAACUUUGGAUAAACAAACUUCGCUUGAACCGAUAUAUAAAAAAACUAAGUUGGAUAGAAACAUUGUGCCCAACACUGCUACAAACAAAAAUCUUUUGGAGAAUAUGACAAUGGAUAAAACAAUUUUAAAGAAUCGCGCAAUUAAUGAUGCAUCUUUGAACACAACUUCAUGGAAUAAACUUUAUUUGGAUAAAAAAAUAUUUGAGAACUUUUCAAUAAAUAAAAGUACUACAGAUACAGAUACGUCUAAGUUAAUUAAAACUACAUUGAAUCAAUUUUCUGGUACGACUCAUAAAGCUACUCGGACUGUGAAUAAAAAAGGAAUAUUGGAUAAACAGAAGCUAGAUAAUUCUGUGUCGCAAGAAUCUACUGAAGUUUCAUUUGCUAAACUUACCUCGGACAAGCCAAUAUUAAGUACAUCCGAAAGUCCAAAUAAAAUCGAGGAAUCAGAAACUUUUAUCGAAAUAUCGAAGCCUAUUGAUGUAAACCCAAUGCCGCAACCGAGGUAUACACCAAUUGGUAUUAAUUGUUAUAGUUGCUCAAGUGAUGACCUUGGAGCUUGUGCACAGACAGCACUUAAAUCUGAAUUCUAUAUUUUGUGCGAAGUAACAAGGAAAGACAGCGGAUGCUACACUGCACUUGAUCGUAAGCCAUUAAUUAUAAUUAGUUAUUUCACUAAUGUACCUAUUAUUUACCAUGUAAUUUAUUUUUCAUUCAAAGGAAAAACCAGAAUAAUCACUCGCGGUUGCCUCUCAGUUAUAUCUAAAUCAAUGGAAAAUUAUUGUUAUAAUGAAAAAGAACUUUGCGAAAUUUGCUAUAAUAACUCAUGCAACAAGAAAAAGGUUCCCGAACUACCAGAAGAAUCUGUUGAUUCAGCAUCCAAACUACUAAGAAGCCUAAUACUUUGGGGAAUUUCUGCUCUGGUUCUGACAGUUGCUUAAUUUUACACGUAAUAACAAUCACCUAAAUAUUCGCAAAUUUUAUCAAACACACUUUCAGUAAAUUAAAAAUAAUAUCUCACUCUAAUAAACUCUUCAAUUCAGCAAUAUAGUUUGUACUGUUUAAAUUUUAAAUUAUUAAAAUAUUGCAAUUGAAAUGCUUAACGUUAUAAAAACUUAUUUUCUCGCGUGACAAGCAGGCAUUGUCAGGCUUGUUAAAUAUGUUGUCUCAUCCAUAAACCGUUUAUAUAAUGUACUUUAUACUUUACCCAUCAAUUGGCACUUGUUUGGAUUUCAUUAUGAGCAGGAUAAUUGCGUGACAAUCAGCGAAAAUGUAUGUCUAUUCAAAUUAGUUGUUAGUGAAGCUUCAGCUAGAUACGACCUAGUUUAGGGACAUACUUUAUCCAGGAAUAUUAUUGAUAGGGGCGCAUUCAAAAUGCGUUGGAAAUAUUGGCGAAUUUUGAUAACAAUAAUCGCUUUAUUAUUUACGAACCACUCAGCAUCGUUUAAAUAUGGGUCGAAUAAAGAUAAUUGGUAUGAAAUGGACAUUGUUCAACCUGGAUGUGGUCACGAUGAAUCUGAUUUGGAAACGACUACACUGGAUAAAGCUACUUUUACUAAACCUAAUAGGAUAGAGAAGAAAGAUACAUUGGAUAACAAAACUUUGCCUAAACCCUCAUUUGGAAAAACAACGCUAGAUAAAUUUGCUGUGCACAACGCUACUGUGGAUAAAGAAAUAUUGGAGAAAACUAUAUUAAAUAAAGCCACUCUGAUUAAACGUACUAUUAAUAGAUUAGAUAAAGAAAUAUUGGCGAAGCUUCCAAUGCAAGAAGCUACCUUAGAUAAGUGGAAACUAUUUCAACCUACAUUAGAUAAACUUAAUUCGUAUACGUCCAAAAAACUCAAUGAAUCCGAUAAAUCCGAAACAGAUGAAUCUAAAGUGAUGCCCAAAAACGGUACCAAGCCGGUUCGCCCUCGCCCUUUACCGCAGCCGAUGUCUGAAUCAAUUGGCAUUCUGUGUUACAAGUGCUCAAGUGAUCAUCGUGGAUCUUGUGCACUGACAGAACAAAAAUCUCAAUACAGUGAAUUCAAUGUUAUGUGCAAGGUUACAAAAAAGGAUAGUGGCUGCUAUACAACACUUGAUCGGCACACCAGAAUUAUCACAAGAGGUUGUCUCUCCGUUAUGUCUCAAUCAAUGGAGAACUAUUGCCGAAAGGAAAACGAACUUUGUGAGAUUUGUUUUAAUAAUUUAUGCAAUAUUGAAAAGGCUCCUGAAAUACCAGAAGACUCCGAGCGAGAUGAAUCACAAUCACUAAGAGGUAGUUUUGUCCUCUGGCUAAUCUGCGUUUCAGCUUCACUAAGUCUUGCUUUUGGAUAAUUUGACUUGGAUAAACGAUUUGCUUAUUUAUUUGCUUAUUCAAUAAAUUUCAAUGGUCUCAAUAA